AGACUGUUCGGUCUCUAUCUGUUGUGGGAGUUGGAAGUUUGCGAAGGACUGACCUUUGUACGAGAGGACCGGGUCGGACGAACCUCUGGUUUACCGGUUGUGGCGCCAGCCGCACCGCCGGGUAUCCACGUUCGGUAAGGAUAAGCGCUGAAAGCAUCUAAGCGCGAAGCCGGCUUCAAGAUGAGAUUUCCAAGAGGGUCGUGGGAGACUACCACGUUGAUAGGCGGAAGGUGUAAAGGCAGUAAUGUCAAAGCCGAUCCGUACUAAUAGCCCGAAAGCUUCGUGAU
Molecule: ribosomal RNA, 287 nt
Filed under: Bacteroidales bacterium
Lineage: Bacteria; Pseudomonadati; Bacteroidota; Bacteroidia; Bacteroidales
Description: partial 23S ribosomal RNA
Rfam family: Bacterial large subunit ribosomal RNA
Source: RNAcentral